GAGUUUUGAUCAUGGCUCAGGAUGAACGCUAGCUACAGGCUUAACACAUGCAAAUCGAGGGGCAGCAUUUUAGUUUGCUUGCAAACUAAAGAUGGCGACCGGCGCACGGGUGAGUAACACGUAUCCAACCUGCCGAUAACUCGGGGAUAGCCUUUCGAAAGAAAGAUUAAUAUCCGAUAGUAUAUUUUCUCCGCAUGGCGAGAAUAUUAAAGAAUUUCGGUUAUCGAUGGGGAUGCGUUCCAUUAGUUUGUUGGCGGGGUAACGGCCCACCAAGACUACGAUGGAUAGGGGUUCUGAGAGGAAGGUCCCCCACAUUGGAACUGAGACACGGUCCAAACUCCUACGGGAGGCAGCA
Molecule: ribosomal RNA, 355 nt
Filed under: uncultured bacterium
Lineage: Bacteria
Description: bacterial SSU rRNA
Rfam family: Bacterial small subunit ribosomal RNA
Source: RNAcentral